CUGAAAAAGCACCAUUUAGAAUUAAUUAAAGCGGAGCGGUUUUCAUUGGUUUUGCCACUGCUGACCAUUGCGUAUUUUUUUAAUGAGGUAGAGCAAGUAUGAAGCAAUGAUUUAACCAAAUAUUUGGGAAGUUGAUUACACAAUACGAGGGGAAAAAAACCGGUUUCAAAAUAUCAGAUAUACCUGACUCUGGAUGUUCAGCUUUGGAAAUUGAGAGAAUGGCUGCAGAGUGAUAUGGUGUUGUGACCCAGGCCCAAGUAAGUAGUAGGAAAAUCAGUCAGUGAAAAAACAAACUUUAUUCGAACAGCUGAGAAUUACUUCAUUCCCAGCAUCGUUCAACUAAAUUAAAGCAAAUUCCUCCCAACACAAAUUCCUCAGUCCUAUCGCAAACCUUGGUCCAAUUAGGCAAACUGCCAAAGGCCUUUCUUGCAAACGUUCAGAAG
Long non-coding RNA from Pantherophis guttatus, 443 nucleotides. RefSeq lists it as uncharacterized. NCBI's taxonomy places the organism in Eukaryota, Metazoa, Chordata, Lepidosauria, Squamata, Colubridae. The record is from RefSeq and is a predicted model, not a curated record.